GGCGAGCCAUGCAGACGUCCCUCUGCACAGGCUUGCCUGCAUGAGGAGCCAUGGCUGCAGCCUAUCGCGGCCUCUGGCGCAGCUCACCUCGACACUUCUAGACUUAUCUCUUUUAUUGAGCGGAGGAAACAUCAGAAAGACCUACGACGUGGCCAGUUUCCGAUCAUUCCUGCGUAGGUGCCUACUUAGCCAGACCUGAGAGAAACGUAGAGUGGAAAUCCAAUAGUAAGCUUGUUCUCCUGCAGUUAUAUUAAGGAAUGUAUAGGUUAUAAAUAGGAAAUAUGCUGAAAUCUUAUCCUCCUUUUAGAGUCAUUCUGAAAUGGUUCUUGGUCUCUGUUACUGUAACUGCUGCUGACAAAACUCUGAAGUCCCCCUUUCCAACCCUUCAAAAAAAAAUUUCAGCUACAUGUACACGUUCUCUAUUUGUAUGGACAAAACUCAUGAGAAACAAAUGUGAAUUAAGAAGUGGGGGGGGGGGGGGAUUCUUUUGAAGUUUUUUUUUCCCUGAGCCAGAAAGGUUUAGCCUCAUUGGAGUACUGUAAUUUAUAUAGCUACAUGCAGGAAGGAUUACAUUUUGUACAGACCAUGUAUAGAAGCACAGUUAAGAUAAUAUCUUUAUCCUGAACGUUUUGGACAAAAGAAAAAAAAAAUCAUAUAAAGAUUUAAAGAGAAGUUAAAUAAGUUACACUAUGGUAUUCAUCUCAAGUUCCAUGUUUGAUAGACAUACUGUCAUAUUGGAAAUCAGGCAUAACAAAUGAAACAACUUUUAACAGCUGCAUCUCUUUCACACAAGUAAAGUAAAAAGUAAGCUUUUCAUUUCAAUUUGCAUCUGUCUAUCAGCCUUAUGUUGUAAAUAAACUGGACCUCCCUUCAUUCAUGUUAAUUUGCUGUGUUUGACAUGCUUUCUCAUUGGCUGAUCAUGACUUUCAACUGACCAGUUAGAAUACAAGCUGGAAAGCCGCUGAAGGCAGGAAGUUUUGGUAACCACAGCAAAUGUGCACUCUUUGUAACUUGUUGAAAUGUGCAAUGUUGGGGCUUUAACGUUCUGCAGCUAUUUAUAAUGAUUCGUGUUAAAUCAGCUUUGUUAAGUACAUGUAUUGGCCACUGCAAGUUGAGAUAUGAUGUGUCUGUGGCUCUUUCUGUGUUCAGUAUUAUUUUGUAAGCUUAAGCCUCAUUUAUUAAAAACCAUUUGUGUCUUUGUCACACUUUCGUCAUGAAUGUCAUUAUUUUUAUCGUUAUACCAAAGUUAAUCCUCAUUUAUCUAAAUGCUUCUCACUAUUUGGUGGUUAUAACUUAACAAUAAGUUAUGAAUGCAGUUCUGACUCCUGGAGCAGGAGUAUUGAUUGUUGAUUUAUUAAUUGUGUCUUGUUUUGUUUUUGUCAAUCAAAUUUAAUUGUAGAUGAAGUAAUGCUUCAUAUUUUAAAUUCCAUAUCUGCUCAUUGUAGCAACAGUCUGUUAAUGUAAGUUUGCAUGACUAAAUGACAAGAAUUAUCCUUUGUUUUAAAUACAUUGAGAUGAAUUGUUCCCCGUGUACUGUAUAUGUUGUACAGGAAGAAAGUACCAAGUUAAUUGCCUCCAUAUUGUGGGUUGAAGUUUAAGAGGCAAGUUGCAGUGGUCUAAUAAUUCAAAAUAGCAACUGUCAACCCUUGUCACUAAAACCUAGUUGCAAUUAUUUUAGUGCUGAAUAAAAAGGAGGUAAAUAAUAUGCUGGCUCAGUUACUGUAUGUUAGUAUGAUUUUUCAUGUUUAUAUUAAGUUAGUUUCUCAUAAUGCAUAAAUGUAUACCCUGUUUUUUUACAUACUGUAACAAUGUCAUUUUGAAUGCUUUUGACUCAAUAUUAAUUUUGCAUGUAUAUUUCUUUGUACAGAAACCAUAUAUGUUUACACAUUCUGUGCUGAACAUAAGUUACUUUAUCCUCAGUUAUUUUUGAGAUUAAACAUCUGAAACAUUUUAUUUGUACAACUAGUCUCCAGUGUCUUUGUUUAUAAAGUGUUUCUCCUUUUCGUGUUCGUGGGAUUGGAGGAAUUAUUCAACAGCAUUGUUGCCGUACAGUAAGUUUGAUGUGGUGUAUAAAACUACCCUGAUCUGAAGAUUAUUUUUACACAUUUCCUGUCUACGUCUCUUGAGGCUUCACCCAAACCAUGUGAAAACCAUCCGGAGAGGCUGAGGCAGCAGGCAGGUGUGAAAACUGCAUCUGCAGGUGCUGAGAUCUUAGUAAGAUCCCAAAACAGAUAAAUGACUGAUUAAACUUCCCCUGAUCUUAUCGCAGUGGACUCAACUUGUGCAGGUGACUGUAAAUGCAUUAGAAUGUAUUAAUUUGUUUGCAGAACAAAAAAAAUAUCAAGAAUCCUUAGGUGCAGAUUUUAUUAUAUAUAACCAAACAUCCAAUAAAAUGCAUUUGUGUGGUCA
Molecule: long non-coding RNA, 2409 nt
Organism: Carassius carassius (crucian carp)
Lineage: Eukaryota; Metazoa; Chordata; Actinopteri; Cypriniformes; Cyprinidae
Exons: 2
Source: RefSeq, a predicted model, not a curated record